Molecule: long non-coding RNA, 1415 nt
Organism: Armigeres subalbatus
Lineage: Eukaryota; Metazoa; Arthropoda; Insecta; Diptera; Culicidae
Exons: 3
Source: RefSeq, a predicted model, not a curated record
UCCAAUCCCUAGUUCAGAUAAUUGACAGAUAAGAACUGUCAUAGUCCUGAUAAAUAAAUCUAGGUAUAUAAGAAACACUUGUACAUAAACAUGAGAAGUUUGCUGUUGGGUAAAAUAAAUAUAGAUGCUCUCUUCUGUAGCAACUGUUGACCAGACCAGUGCGUUUUCCUUGAACUUUACAGUGGCGACGAGAUAAAAAAAUUAGUAAUUCGCGUGUGAAAGUAGUAAAAAAUAGUAGAAUAAGUGGCCGUUUCGGAUUAGCUUGUGUCGGACGGAGCUAAGGUUGGCUGGUUGAGGAAUUAAUCGGAUGAAAGCCGGUCAAAAGUGACGCUAGUUCCUUGGCUUAGGGUGGACCCUAUUAUCCACAGGUCGAGUUAAUUUCCUGGUGGCGUCUGAAAUUGAAGUUUACCGAAGAGCUUUUGAGCAGGAAAGCUAGGCCAGUUGACCGAUAAUCCGGAUAAGGCUGUACGAAAAAGGAUGAUUACCGGUGUUGUUGCUGAGUGAAUACGUGAUAUCGUUGCAAAAACUUAAUCGUUUGAAAGGCGGAAUUAUCGACGCACACACGAACUUUUCGGGAUUGGGACAAUUGGCGUUCAGCAGUACAAUAACCACUAGUUUCGGAGGAGACGGGAACUGGAAUUCAGCGAGUGAGAACGGUACAAAGUUGUGAACUAAUUAGACACAAUGGGGCUAAUCGGUUCAAUUGAUCCAUAUGUUCAAGGUACCUCGUUCUCUCAUUAUGUCGAACAAAUGGAAUACAUCUUCUCUAGUAACGACAUUGUAGAGGGUAAGAAAAAAGAUAUUUUCCUUAGCUUGUGCGGGAUAACGGUGUUCCAGGAAUUGAAACGUCUUUAUCCUGCGACGGACUUACGAACCGUAUCCUACGCGGAUAUUAUAAAAAAAUUAAAGGAGAGAUAUGAUAAGGUAGAAUCAGACAUAGUGAUGCGGUAUAAGUUUAGAUGCAGGGUACAAGGACCAGGUGAAACGAACGAAAAUUUUCUUCUAGAUGUGAAACUAUUGGCUGAAACGUGUGACUUUGGUGAAUUUAGAGACUCGGCCAUUAGGGAUCAAUUGGUUUACGGUGUGCAUGAUAAGGAUUUGCAACAGAAGCUUUUAGGUGAGGAGAAUUUGACGUUGAAAGUGGCGGAGCGGAUUUUAAAAACAAAAGAAGUUACAGCAAAUAGCUCGCAGGCAAUCAAUAGGAGCAGCGGAGUGAAUUCGGUAAAGCAUAGGUUAGGAUGGAAGGAAAUCAAGGAUGAAAGAAAGAAUUAUGGCGAAAGAGAUUUUGAAAGAAGGAGCAGAGAAAAGUAUCGAAAUGAUGAUAGAAGAUCCCAAUACCAAAAUGGCGGAUAUCGUUCUCGAUCUAGGUCACAGACAAAGGGACGGUAUGCUAACUUUAUUUGUCAUUUUUGUAA